RNAcentral lists this ribosomal RNA (404 nucleotides) under Pseudomonas sp. RNAcentral describes it as "partial 16S ribosomal RNA". It matches the Rfam family "Bacterial small subunit ribosomal RNA", at positions 355 to 776 of the family's 1533-position model. The record is from RNAcentral. Lineage: Bacteria; Pseudomonadati; Pseudomonadota; Gammaproteobacteria; Pseudomonadales; Pseudomonadaceae. RNAcentral also lists the same sequence under 3 other names.
UGGGGAAUAUUGGACAAUGGGCGCAGGCCUGAUCCAGCCAUGCCGCGUGAGUGAUGAAGGCCCUAGGGUUGUAAAGCUCUUUCACCGGUGAAGAUAAUGACGGUAACCGGAGAAGAAGCCCCGGCUAACUUCGUGCCAGCAGCCGCGGUAAUACGAAGGGGGCUAGCGUUGUUCGGAUUUACUGGGCGUAAAGCGCACGUAGGCGGACUUUUAAGUCAGGGGUGAAAUCCCGGGGCUCAACCCCGGAACUGCCUUUGAUACUGGAAGUCUUGAGUAUGGUAGAGGUGAGUGGAAUUCCGAGUGUAGAGGUGAAAUUCGUAGAUAUUCGGAGGAACACCAGUGGCGAAGGCGGCUCACUGGACCAUUACUGACGCUGAGGUGCGAAAGCGUGGGGAGCAAACAGG